AUCGCUUCUCGGCCUUUUGGCUAAGAUCAAGUGUAGUAUCUGUGCUUAUCAGUUUAAUAAUUCAUCCCGUAGAAUCAUCACGAGCUCUGAUCUUGUUUAAGAGAUUGAUGAGAUGAUCAGCCCCUUGAUCUGACAUUCACGCUUUCGGCAUCCAUCAAGCCAAAAGCUUGAGGUCAAG
This 178-nucleotide small nuclear RNA is filed under the name Echinops telfairi (small Madagascar hedgehog). RNAcentral describes it as "U2 spliceosomal RNA (ENSETEG00000021064.1)". The stretch from base 1 to 125 matches the Rfam family "U2 spliceosomal RNA". Rfam says of the family: U2 is a small nuclear RNA (snRNA) component of the spliceosome (involved in pre-mRNA splicing). Complementary binding between U2 snRNA (in an area lying towards the 5' end but 3' to hairpin I) and the branchpoint sequence (BPS) of the intron results the bulging out of an unpaired adenosine, on the BPS, which initiates a nucleophilic attack at the intronic 5' splice site, thus starting the first of two transesterification reactions that mediate splicing. The record is from RNAcentral. Lineage: Eukaryota; Metazoa; Chordata; Mammalia; Afrosoricida; Tenrecidae.